This 497-nucleotide ribosomal RNA is filed under the name uncultured bacterium. Its description in RNAcentral is "partial 16S ribosomal RNA". It matches the Rfam family "Bacterial small subunit ribosomal RNA", at positions 28 to 507 of the family's 1533-position model. The record is from RNAcentral.
GAUGAACGCUGGCGGCGUGCCUAAUACAUGCGAGUCGAGCGAACAGACGAGGAGCUUGCUCCUCUGACGUUAGCGGCGGACGGGUGAGUAACACGUGGAUAACCUACCUAUAAGACUGGGAUAACUUCGGGAAACCGGAGCUAAUACCGGAUAACAUGUUGAACCGCAUGGUUCAACAGUGAAAGACGGUUUUGCUGUCACUUAUAGAUGGAUCCGCGUCGCAUUAGCUAGUUGGUAAGGUAACGGCUUACCAAGGCAACGAUGCGUAGCCGACCUGAGAGGGUGAUCGGCCACACUGGAACUGAGACACGGACCAGACUCCUACGGGAGGCAGCAGUAGGGAAUCUUCCGCAAUGGGCGAAAGCCUGACGGAGCAACGCCGCGUGAGUGAAGAAGGUCUUCGGAUCGUAAAACUCUGUUAUUAGGGAAGAACAAAUGUGUAAGUAACUAUGCACGUCUUGACGGUACCUAAUCAGAAAGCCACGGCUAACUACGUG